AUCCAACUGACAAGUCCUAAAUAGGACGAAACACGUAUCCUGAAU
This 45-nucleotide non-coding RNA is filed under the name Schistosoma curassoni. The record is from RNAcentral. Lineage: Eukaryota; Metazoa; Platyhelminthes; Trematoda; Strigeidida; Schistosomatidae.